Chelonia mydas (Green sea turtle) is the source of this 5150-nucleotide long non-coding RNA. RefSeq lists it as uncharacterized. Lineage: Eukaryota; Metazoa; Chordata; Testudines; Cheloniidae. The record is from RefSeq and is a predicted model, not a curated record. The transcript is spliced from 4 exons.
CAAAAACCUCAGUUCAUCCAGGGUUAGUCCUCUAUAGGUCCUCUUGUAUAUCCAACUAAAACUCAAGAGAAUACGAAUGCUGACUGAAAGCACAGUGUGCUCUCCUCGGGCACGCAGGAUCCCAGCUCAAUCCAAAAUUUAAAAAGAGGCAAUCUGACAUUCCUAUGCAUGGAAACAAAAGUUAAAUAGCGAGGGAUGACUGUCCUGCAGAAAUAUAAAGUUAAAACCAGGCACCAAUAAAUCUUUGGAAAGUUACUUUUAUGUUUGCUUACAAAUUCACUAACUCUUAGACCAUUUUAAAUUACAAUUGAAUUCAAGCCCACUUGCACAAACCACCUCUAGAAUGAAUGCAGAGUCUGUGUUUAUUUUCUCCUCACCCAAAAUGUCUUCCAAGAAAAUGAUGAGAACCACAGCUCUGAAGUGGAGCAGAGCACUGUAGCUGCUCAGGCUGGAUACCAGGAUUCUUGGGUAAUGGUGCACUUGGUGAGAAGGAACAGGAGGUAGGAAAAAUGGGACUAGCAACCCUGCAACUUGGCUAACAAAGAGAAAUGGGAAGGAUAGACGGUCCACCAGUGCCUGUUGCGGGCAACUGCAGAAGUGAUCACCAAGUAAGAGAAGCCCACCUAAUCCAGGCGAAGGAUCCUUGUUCAACUACAAGAGAGAUCCUGUCAAUGAACCAAGGGGGAAAAUUCCUCCCCGAUUCCACAUUUAGAGAUUAGUUUACCUCUAUGCAUGAGCCCAACCCCAUCCCUGGUCUUCAGGGCCUGAGCUGCAAUGUCUACACCGCUAUUUUUAGUGCAAUAGCAUGAGUCCUGCAAGCCUGAGUCUGUAGACCCAGGCUCAGACUCGCUGCCACGGGUUUUAAAAUGCAGUGUAGACAUACACACUAUGUCUAAACUUUAAUUUUCAGUUGUGUUUUAACACCUGUUAAUUAACAUGACUAAACACAAACUUUGCUCCAGGAUAUGUGUCUGUUCCUUGUCAUGUUUAACCACUGGCUUCUAGCAUCUACACUAAAAUUUACAAUUAUCUUAUUUAGCAGUAUUAAAACACAACAAAAAUGAGACACAAAAAUCCCUGUCAGGCAAAUACAGAAGAAAGUUUAAGCACUUUAAAACACAAUGUUAGCUAUGAACUACGCAGGGAAGGAUGAACCAGUAGUUAGGGUGUUAGCUAGGGAUUCGUAAGUCCCGGGUUCAAUUCCCUGCUCCGUCCACGGAUUUUCUGGGCAAGUCACUUAGUCACUCUGUGCCUCAGGUCCCCAUCUGUAAAUUGGAAAUAAAUAGAAGUUCCUCACAGGAUUGUUGUGAGGAUAAAUGCAUUAAAGACUGUCUGAUAUUAUGGUAAUAAGGGGUCAUUUAAGUACAUACAAUAGCAAGCCAGCCACUAAUAUGGUAGAAAGAGCCUAAAUGUCAGUCCUUUUAAUCUACAAGGAGUAAUUGGUACAAUAUCUGGAACAUCUGUUUGUAUCGUUCUAGAUACUCACGGAGGAGAUUUCAAGAUCUAACACUUGUAUAUUAAAACACACUGCCCCAGAAAAGACACUGACUGCUUCAAAAAAUUUAAAACAUACUUUAGAGCAGAGAUCCCCAACGUGGCGCUCGACGGGGUGUUUAUGUGCCCCCGCCGAGUGACACUGUGUGAAAACUAGUGCCCAGCAGGGGAGAGAAGCCACAGCCCCGCACCUGCCGGGGACAGAGAACUCCGGGGCUGCAGGCUGCGAGUGCCGGUGUUCUCUGUCCCCGGCAGGGGCGGGGCCGCGGCUUCUCUCCGCAUUACCCAGAACUGCCAAAAAAAAAAAAAAAAAAGCUGCUUAGACUGCUGCUGCCGGAACUGCCAAAGCGCAAAAAAAAAAAAAAAAAAAAAAACACCACUCGGACUCUGCCGCCCCAAGAAUGGACAGAAUGCCGCCCCCAGGCACGUGCUGGCUCCUGGAGCCGGCCCUGUAGGUGAGCAUUCUUCCGCUGCACUGAUACUGCUGUUUUCUCACGCUUUGCGAUUUUUUUUUUUUUAAAACAUUUUGCCCCAAAAUGAGUCGUUCAAAUAAAAGACAAUGUACGUAUUAUUUCAACGCAGAGUGGGAGGAAUCCUAUUGUUUUCUUGAAAAUAAAGGGAAAUGUGUUUGCUUAUUGUGCGGUGGUACUGUUGCAGUGCCGAAAAAACAAUGUCAGACGCCAUUUCCAAACUAAUUACAGCUCUUUUAACACUUGCCAUCCACUUAAAUCUGAGUUGAGAAAGAAGAAAAUGAAUCAACUCAAACCAAACCUAUCUGCCCAUCAAUCUGUUUUCACUAGACAAGUGGUAAAGUCCAGAAGUGCUACUAUGGCUUCCUUUAAAAUUGCUCAUCUGCUCGCAAAGAAGAAAAAACCGUUUCAAGAUGGUGAAUUGUUGAAAGAAGCAUUUUUGACUGGUACUGAUUGCCUGUUUCAAGGAUUUCCUAACAAGCGUGAGAUUUUGUCAGCAAUACAAGACUUGCAGUUAUCAGACAACACAGUUACGAGGAGGAUACAUACAAUUUCAAGCGACAUGCAAACUCAGCUAAAGGAUGACUUGGAAAUAUGUGACUGGUUUUCACUGCAGUUCGAUGAGUCGACAGAUAUAUCGGAUACAGCACAGUUGGCAGUUAUGGUGAGGGUGGUAUUUAGUGACUUCACCAUAAAAGAAGAGUUAAGUAUUGCCUAUGAAAGGGUGAACAAAGGGUGAGGACAUCUAUAAUUUAUUCAAAUCAUACUCAACAUCAAUUAGUAUGCCACUACACAAGCUGUCUGCGAUCACCACUGAUGGGGCACCAGCAACGAUGGGCAGCGCCAAUGGAUUCAUUGCACUCUGCAAGAAGAAUGAAUCCUUUCCGAACUUUAUGUCUUAUCAUUGCAUUAUCCAUCAAGAAGCUUUGUGUGUCAAAGUUCAUUCUUUUCAACACAUCAUGAAUGUCAUUAUUAAAAUAAUUAACUCUAUUCGAGUGAAACCUUUGCAACACCGACUUCUUAAGGCCCUGUUGGAAGAGGUUGAUGAUAAACAAUCUGAUCUUAUCUUGCACACAGAAGUACAAUGGCUGAGCAAAGGUAAAGUUCUUGCACGUUUUUUAAGCCUAAUUCAAGAGAUCAAAGAAUUUCUGAAGUCCACAAAUCAGAACUUCGAGCAACUAGAAGACUUCAGCUCGUUAAUGGACUUGGCUUUUCUUGCCACCAUCGCUGACAAAUUGAACAUUUUAAAUCUUGAGCUCCACGGAAAAGACAAACAUGUGGCUCAAAUGAUAGGUUCUGUAAAAUGAUUCAAAUUAAAACUGAUCUUGUAGAUGUCACAUAUGAAGACGAAGUCUCUCGUACAUUUCCCAAGUCUGAAGAAAAUGGUAUGUGACAGUGAUUUUAACCCAUCACCAUGAGCAAAUUCACAUGCAAGAAUCCCAGAUUCUCAAAUAAGGACAUCCAUACAAACCAGAGCUGACAAGGAGGUGAAUGACUAAAAGAUAGUCCAUCCAGUCGGAAGUUGUUCCAGCUACAGCAGGCCUUUGUACCAGGAAAGGGUUUAAAAAUAUUAUCAAGCUAAAGAUUCCACGCCACCUUCACAUAGAUCUGAACAGCAAAAGUGGCAUCUAAAACUUCAUUUCCCCAAGUCCAAAGGGCUCAAGUCUGAUGUCCAGGCCAUCUCUAAUGCUCCCCCAUUACAAGAGCUCCUCAAAUACUGUUGCUGUGCAAGAGCAAACUACAUCAUCAUUAUUAAUUAUUUCUACUGUGAUAGCUGCCAGAGCUCCAAUCAGCAGCAAGGCCCUGUUGUGCUAAGCCAGGGAUUCCCAAACUUGGUUAGCGGCUUGUUCAGGGGUAAGCCCCUGGCGGGCCGCGAGACGCUUUGUUUACCCGAGCGUCCGCAGGUACAGCAGCUCACAGCUUCCAGUGGAUAUGGUUCACCAUUCCCAGCCAAUGGGAACUGCAGGAAGAGGUGGCAAAUACUGCAAAUACUGAAGUUAGUUAUCUAAGGCAACAUGGUGACUUUCCAAAGCACUGGUAUGAACUGCAGCAAUAAAUGGAUAUACAUUUCCUGAGAUCCAGGAUAAUGCAGUGAUACUGGAACAGCAGACAAGGUGAGAAAGACAGACACCGCCACUACCACCACCACAAGGAACUGAGAGCAAAUCUGACUGAUAUCCGACAAAUCUUCAAAUCUUCAUACGUGUUUAAAAAGUGACAUUUCUUCAAAGGUAUCAACUCACAGGUGAAAUGCUAAUAUGAUUUUUUUUAAAUGCUUGGGGUUGGCAAUAUUGCUCACUUCAGUGAGAACUGAGGGUAUUCAUCACCUUAUAGGGAAUGGUCUUUCUCCAGCCUCGUAAGAAGCCUGUGAAAUAAAAGACACAUUUAAUUUACAUCCAGGUCUCAUCUAAUGGAGACAGUGAAUUGAUGUUUUGACCCAUGGGGACAACUUCCCAAAUGACAGAAGCUAAGAAUCCUCUAAAGAAUAUUUUGUCAAAAGCUACUGGCCAAGGACAGAUUCUCUGACACAGCAGAUGGUACAAACCACCCGCAAGAUAUUCCAAAGCUUGCAGAGAGUAUUUUUUAUUUUGUUAUUUUAAAGAAGCACUGGGUAUUCUGCACUGAUUAGUGUUGUCAUAGCCAUACAAUUCACAAGUUAACAGUUCAAUAUGUUAAAGCUGGUUAACACACUAGAAGCCCAAUCAUUCAUGAAAGGUUAGAGAAAGCACAGCAGAGAUAGGGGAAGGACAGCAGAAUUUUGAUAGGAAUAUGUAUUAAACUUCUUUUAAAUGCAUGUUAUCUAUGUGAGAGCUCAAAAUGGCUCACUUCAGUCAAUUGGGUUAAUUUCUACUUUGCUUAAUUAUGCACAGUCUGUAUUUUAUUUACCAAUAAAGCAUAUUAAACCCUAUAAUUAGGCACCAAGACUCCUGUCCCUGCAGUUACACAAGCCAAUGGAAUUACUCAAGUGUUCAAAGCUAAGCGUGUGAGUAAGGUCUUGUAGCACUGGGGCUAUAAUCACUGUUUUCUUAAGAGGGAUGUAUCACAUUUGCACAGUACUGUCUUUGGAAGAGCCAUUUUUAAAGGAAGCAUCAGAUAGAGACUAAACAUUUCACAUCACAGUCCAAAAUUUUAAGGCAGCCUCAGCCCCUGAAAAGGAGGGUUCAUGAAAAUAGAUGAUGACCGAAA